GUGCAUUUCAUACAGGGCUGUGGGCGCCCGGCGCUCUUAUGCUUGAUUUUCUGAAAAACUGCUUCGUCGGGAUGAAUCAGCAGCGCCGGCUUCACACACACACAAAAAAGCGCGACCGCUGUAGCAGUAGGAUGAAUCACAGAAUAACUGACUGAAAGAUGCACGGUGAUCGAAAGCAGUCAAAGUGAAAGACCAACAAUGACAACAGCAACACUAAAAGGAAAGACAGACUGGGACAGGGUCCCGAGUAAGUCACGCUGUCUAUGUUUCAAGGGAUGGUAUUUUGUACAACAGCCACAAAAAUAAGCUAAAGGAAUAAUUCCCCCCCACCUCCAGAUUUUUAGAGUUUUUCAGAUUUGAGAACUGAAUUCCAAGGGUUUUGGUCCAUAAGCAGCCCAUGGGACUUAGUUCUUAAAUCUGGAUGCUCCCCCCCCCCCCCCCUUGUAGGCUUCGGAGAUGGAGAGAUACAUCACACAUCUGAGGAGAGCAGAAAGAGACAGUAUUUAGCUUUGCCAGUGGAUCUGUGCCCUAAGAAAUCGCUUAAAAACUCAUCGUCGCAUUAUAUUGACAAAGGUUAUGUGUCCCGACACCGUUACACAUGUGAUAUUUUCAUCAGCUUUCCAGGCAAAUCAACCCCAACUAGAAGAUGCUUCUUUUUCGAGCUGAACUCAGGUCAUAAGCCCCAUUAGCACAGCGGUGACUGUCGACUCACUUCCUCCGAUUAAUCUCAAGACUGCGCUGCAGCGACGAGAAGAUAUAAACCUACAUUCAUCUAAUAACAAAAGUCUCCCUCACUGAGAAACACUGACCUCAUGCCCGGCUUUAUAAAUAGGAUGAUGGGAAAGAUCAUGAGCAGAAAUGUGAUCAGUAUCUCAUAAUCAAAUUAACUCCAUCCCGGGUUUCUCUGGGAAAUUUUACAUAUUGGCAAAGCCUACCUCACAAUACACACAAAACCAUCAGAACACAAGCAAAUCCAUUUUAAAUGUUUUAAUUGUUAAAAACAGGGAAGGUUUUAAAUGUUUAAGGUAAAAUUUAUGUAUAAAUGAUAUAAUUUAUACCAUAUUUAGCAGUUUCCAUUUUCAUCAAGAAACACGUGCUAAGCUGGUCUGUGUUUGUGUUUCAUUUCUGCAAAUACAGCAAUAAACCAACUAUUAUCUCAUUUCCAGUAAAAUAAUUGGAAGCUUGUUUAUAUUUGAGCUCAUGUACAUACGCUUUCUUGACGCUGGUCGCAGUAGGUGACUCACUCCACUGAACGAAAAUGCCGAGCUCCCAAAAGGAACGCUGCAGUCACGUUUCGACCAGGAAAUGUGGGAACAUUUUGUGCGUUGAAUAAAGUCUUCAGUUACCUCUGUUUUGCUACACAUCACUUAAAAUAUAUCGCCUUACACCAUGUUUAGAUGGAUUAUUUAUUAGCUACAUGACCAGGGCUGGUGGAAUUUGAUCUUAGUACAGUAUAUUACACUCUACAGUACAUACAUCAAGCAUAGCAGACACUCGACAUGUUAUCAGCAAUAAACAGAGGUAGGCCAGAGAUUAUUUUUGCGAUGGGGUUGAUUGACUUCCCAGCGGGGAUGCUCAGAAAUGUAGGGUAGGGUUUCCCCUUGAUGUACCGAUCUCCGUGGUUUAAUUUCUUUUGCAAUGCACACAUAUGUGCUUUUUAUUAAUGCAUUUAUUUUUCAAAGUAUAAACUGAGCUAUUCACUUGUGGGAGUUUUACUGACCCAAAAAUGUCCUGAGGGCAUAAGAACGCUAACGUCUACAAUCAGAUUGUAGAGGAAGCGGGCCCAAGCAACUAGAGGAGGCGGGACCUACUGCUCUUCAAUAUUAUCAAUAGGAUUCAAUAUGAUUGGAUCAGAGGUAACCAAUCAGAUUGUAGAGGAGGCGUGCCCAAGCAACUAGAGGAGGCGGGUCCUACUUCUUUUCAAAAUGAUCAAUAGGAUUCAAUAUGAUUGGACCAGAGAGAUAACCAAUCAUUUUUCGUUCUGCCCUCAGAACAUUUUUGUGUAAGUAAAACUCCCCUGAGCGUAGUAUUCCCACAUAAAAAUAUAUAUAUAUCCAAAUAAACCGCAGAAAUUUCUUGGGGGUACUAAGGGGGUGCAAUGACGAUCAUAGGGGUAGCUACUGCACCCCCAAGCCCCUUCCUGGCCCCACCCCUGGCAAUACACAGUUAUAAUGAAUACAAUGAUACAGUAUGAUACAAAACAGUACAAUACAACACACUGCAGUACAGCAAACACAAUACAAUGAGACACAACAGCAUGCAUUAGAUAAAUAGUGAAUAGUAAACAAUGUUUAGUGUUUGCAGGCAGUAACCUGUAGCACCUUCCAGAGGGAAGGAACUGAAAGAGAUUGUGAGCAAGAUAUGUGCAGUCGGAGAUUAUCUUUGCUCUUCAACGUCCGGUGAAUAUGCAGCGAUUCAAGAGGGUAGUGGGUUGCCUAUGAUUUUGGAUGCCUUACUCACGAUCCGCUGCGGUGGUUUCCGUGUUUGACUGUCCGGGCUGCUGUACCAUACUGUAAUAGGAGAGAGUAGAGAUGGAGUGAGUAACAGCCGAGUAGAACAGAACGAGAAGUUGCUUGAGGAAGCAAAGUCGUUGUUGAGCUUUUGCAAUUAUGUCUCCGUUGUAGCUUUUCCGCUCCAAGUCAUUGCCGAUGCUUGUUCCGAGGAAUUUAAAAGAGUCGCACCAUUCUUAUAUAUUACCAAAUAUUAUCAGCCCGACACUUUUUAGUUUGUCUGAAGUUGCCAUUGAGCUGGGAUAAUCACAGCCCACGUUUUGCUGAGAUGCUGGCUCACAACAGUCCUUAUUCUGGAUGAAAGAUUGCUCACCAUAACAUAACAUGGCUGCCUGGUAAGUGCUGAGUAUUACAGCCACCCAAUAUUGAUUUUUACAGAACUUAAAAGGCCAAGGAUGUGACGGUGACUCAGUGGGUAGCAUUUUAUCUUCACACCUUCGAGGCUGGGGGAGUGAAUUCUGCCUUCAGUUAGCAGCUAGCCUAACUGGUGUUCUAGGGUGUACUAUGGUGCAACUACGGCAUGCUCACACUAGGAGAUCCAUACCCUGCCAGAGCAUGUUUCACCCCCCAAAAUCCAGUUUGUUAGACUGGUGUGUUUGCUUGGUACAGUAAGCAUCCAGUGUGAUCAUUCUGUACAGUAGGCAUCCAGUGUGAUCAUUCUGUUCAGUAGGCAUCCAGUGUGAUCACUCUGUACAGUAGGCAUCCAGUGUGAUCGCUCUGUACAGUAUGCAUCCAGUGUGAUCGCUCUGUACAGUAUGCAUCCAGUGUGAUCGCUCUGUACAGUAGGCAUCCAGUGUGAUUGCUCUGUACAGUAUGCAUCCAGUGUGAUCGCUCUGUACAGUAUGCAUCCAGUGUGAUCGCUCUGUACAGUAGGCAUCCAGUGUGAUCGCUCUGUACAGUAUGCAUCCAGUGUGAUCGCUAACUGUGCCUGAACACGAGACUCAGGCACGACUUCAAUGGUGCACCUGGCCUUUCAAAAAACAUGGUGGCAAAGGGAUCACUUUGGUCUAUGGCAGAGGUGCAGUGUUUGCUGGAAAUUUGGGCUGCAGAGAGUAUCCAGGUAAAACUGGAUGCAACAAACAAAAACAUAUUUAUUUAAGAAAAUACAGGACUGUCUUUUUUAUACAUAUAGCAUGAUUAUAUGACAAUUGCUGCAUUGCAUACUUGAUAAAUCUAUAAAAGGGCCAUGUCAUCACAUCCAAAAAGACUCCAAAUAAACCACAAAAUAAGCCGGCAGCAUAAAACUAUGUGUAACAAUUUGCUACCACACUGAAAAUCAUAGGCAGCACUUUGUACAGCAUAAAACUACAUGUAAAAAACUGCUACCCCCGCUGAAAACUAUAGGCAGCACUUUCUGGCAGCACAAAAUUACAUGUAAAAAAACUGCUACCACACUGAAAACUAUAGGUAGGGGGCGCUGACUUGCCAGCCAAUUUCACUCGGACAGGGGGUGGGGGGCGCCGGCGGUGGUGCUGGCCUAGGGGCGCCACAUCGGCUAGGGCCGGUAGUGCUCAUCCGCCUCCCUGAAAUACACAUAUAGAAGGUGGAAUGUCUGCGUUUUACUCUGCGGCAGCUCCUGCAGUCAGCACAACAUUAUCUGAGGGUUCAGCUCUUUGGAGUGAGUAAGAUGCCCCGGGAUGCCACCAUCUCGCCGCUCUGCAGCGUGUAGGCAGAGCUGUGAAGGAAAGCAAGUCGGGACAUAGAUGUCCUCUGCGAGACACGGGCCGCGCCGAGGAAGACGCAUAUCAGCCAUGCUUUCUGUUCCUACAAACGUGUCAUCAAGAGAAGACAACAGUUAAGCUAUUCUGAUUGUGUUAGAUUAGGGAGGUUGUUUGAGUCUGUAACGUUUUAUUUUUUUUUAAUUAAACAGGCGUUAGGUCGUUCUUGCUUCUCUAUCCUUUUAUGAAAAAGACUAAUCCUUCAGCAGUAUGUGAUUCCGACUAAACUGUGGCAUUGAAUGAUAAUUGAAUAAUAAUAUGUGGCACAUAUGUAACUCAUACUUAGGGAGCAGGGUGGAAGGUUGUGAGAAGCACUCUGGUGAAUCAAAAAUGCAUAUAAUAUAUAAUAUGCCUUUAAUAAUAUAAUUGUGAAUUUAGGCUGGCUGCGUGUACAUCAUUAAUGUGAUUUAUUUAUUGCCCUGUGCGUGAGUUUAUAGUAACGCAACAUACAAACAGUUUUUUUUUGUUUGAUUGUUGAAAUCUUAAAUAAAAGAUUAUUGUCUUUGCA
Long non-coding RNA from Brienomyrus brachyistius, 4736 nucleotides. RefSeq lists it as uncharacterized. The record is from RefSeq and is a predicted model, not a curated record. NCBI's taxonomy places the organism in Eukaryota, Metazoa, Chordata, Actinopteri, Osteoglossiformes, Mormyridae. The transcript is spliced from 3 exons.